GACGAACGCUGGCGGCAUGCUUAACACAUGCAAGUCGAACGGAAAGGCCCUGCUUGCAGGGUACUCGAGUGGCGAACGGGUGAGUAACACGUGGGUGAUCUGCCCUGCACUUCGGGAUAAGCCUGGGAAACUGGGUCUAAUACCGGAUAGGAGCCAUUUUUAGUGUGAUGGUUGGAGAGUUUUUUCGGUGUAGGAUGAGCUCGCGGCCUAUCAGCUUGUUGGUGGGGUAAUGGCCUACCAAGGCGGCGACGGGUAGCCGGCCUGAGAGGGUGGACGGCCACAGUGGGACUGGGAUACGGCCCAGACUCCGACGGGAGGCAGAAGUGGGGAAUAUUGCACAAUGGGCGCAAGCCUGAUGCAGCGACGCCGCGUGGGGGAUGACGGCCUUCGGGUUGUAAACUCCUUUCGCUAGGGACGAAGCUGUUUGUGACGGUACCUAGAUAAGAAGCACCGGCUAACUACGUG
This 465-nucleotide ribosomal RNA is filed under the name uncultured bacterium. Its description in RNAcentral is "partial 16S ribosomal RNA". It matches the Rfam family "Bacterial small subunit ribosomal RNA", at positions 28 to 507 of the family's 1533-position model. The record is from RNAcentral.